Molecule: ribosomal RNA, 497 nt
Filed under: uncultured bacterium
Lineage: Bacteria
Description: partial 16S ribosomal RNA
Rfam family: Bacterial small subunit ribosomal RNA
Source: RNAcentral
GAUGAACGCUGGCGGCGUGCCUAAUACAUGCAAGUCGAGCGAACAGAUGAGGAGCUUGCUCCUCUGACGUUAGCGGCGGACGGGUGAGUAACACGUGGAUAACCUACCCAUAAGACUGGGAUAACUUCGGGAAACCGGAGCUAAUACCGGAUAAUAUAUUGAACCGCAUGGUUCAAUAGUGAAAGACGGUUUUGCUGUCACUUAUAGAUGGAUCCGCGCCGCAUUAGCUAGUUGGUAAGGUAACGGCUUACCAAGGCAACGAUGCGUAGCCGACCUGAGAGGGUGAUCGGCCACACUGGAACUGAGACACGGUCCAGACUCCUACGGGAGGCAGCAGUAGGGAAUCUUCCGCAAUGGGCGAAAGCCUGACGGAGCAACGCCGCGUGAGUGAUGAAGGUCUUCGGAUCGUAAAACUCUGUUAUUAGGGAAGAACAAAUGUGUAAGUAACUAUGCACGUCUUGACGGCACCUAAUCAGAAAGCCACGGCUAACUACGUG